RNAcentral lists this ribosomal RNA (467 nucleotides) under uncultured bacterium. RNAcentral's name for it is "partial 16S ribosomal RNA". It matches the Rfam family "Bacterial small subunit ribosomal RNA", at positions 28 to 507 of the family's 1533-position model. The record is from RNAcentral.
GAUGAACGCUGGCGGCGUGCUUAACACAUGCAAGUCGAACGGAAAGGCCCAAGCUUGCUUGGGUACUCGAGUGGCGAACGGGUGAGUAACACGUGGGUGAUCUGCCCUGCACUUCGGGAUAAGCCUGGGAAACUGGGUCUAAUACCGGAUAGGGCCACUUCUUGGAUGUUGUGGUGGAAAGUUUUUUCGGUGUGGGAUGAGCUCGCGGCCUAUCAGCUUGUUGGUGGGGUAAUGGCCUACCAAGGCGUCGACGGGUAGCCGGCCUGAGAGGGUGUACGGCCACAUUGGGACUGAGAUACGGCCCAGACUCCUACGGGAGGCAGCAGUGGGGAAUAUUGCACAAUGGGCGCAAGCCUGAUGCAGCGACGCCGCGUGGGGGAUGACGGCCUUCGGGUUGUAAACUCCUUUCGCUAGGGACGAAGCGUUUUGUGACGGUACCUGGAGAAGAAGCACCGGCUAACUACGUG